This 886-nucleotide ribosomal RNA is filed under the name uncultured bacterium. RNAcentral's name for it is "bacterial SSU rRNA". It matches the Rfam family "Bacterial small subunit ribosomal RNA", at positions 27 to 906 of the family's 1533-position model. The record is from RNAcentral.
GAAUGAACGCUGGCGGCGUGCCUAACACAUGCAAGUCGGAUGUGCCGCAAGGUGCAUGGCAGACGGGUGAGUAACGCGUGGGGAAUCUACCUCUUUGUGGGGAAUAACGCUCCGAAAGGAGUGGUAAUACCGCAUGAGACCGUGAGCUGGGACGCUCAUGGUGAGACCUGGGGACCGCAAGGCCUGGGGCAAGGAGAGGAUCCUGCGUCUGAUUAGCUAGUUGGCGGGGUAAUGGCCCACCAAGGCGACGAUCAGUAGCCGGCCUGAGAGGGUGAUCGGCCACACUGGAACUGAGACACGGUCCAGACUCCUACGGGAGGCAGCAGUGGGGAAUUUUGCGCAAUGGGCGAAAGCCUGACGCAGCAACGCCGCGUGGGUGAUGAAGGUCUUCGGACUGUAAAACCCUGUCGUCAGGGACGAAGGUGGCAGUGUGAAUAGCGCUGUUACUUGACGGUACCUGGAGAGGAAGCCCCGGCUAACUCUGUGCCAGCAGCCGCGGUAAUACAGAGGGGGCAAGCGUUAUUCGGAAUUAUUGGGCGUAAAGGGCGCGUAGGCGGUUUUUUAAGUCAGAUGUGUAAUCCCCGAGCUUAACUUGGGAACUGCAUCUGAGACUGGAAGGCUAGAGUACUGGAGAGGGUGGUGGAAUUCCUCGUGUAGCGGUGAAAUGCGUAGAGAUGAGGAGGAACACCAGUGGCGAAGGCGGCCACCUGGACAGUAACUGACGCUGAGGCGCGAAAGUGUGGGUAGCAAGCAGGAUUAGAUACCCUGGUAGUCCACGCUGUAAACGAUGAACACUUGGUGUGGAGGGAGUUGACCCCUUCCGUGCCGGAGCUAACGCGUUAAGUGUUCCGCCUGGGGAGUACGGUCGCAAGGCUGAAACUCAAAG